This 717-nucleotide ribosomal RNA is filed under the name Triticum aestivum (bread wheat). Its description in RNAcentral is "partial small subunit ribosomal RNA". The record is from RNAcentral. Lineage: Eukaryota; Viridiplantae; Streptophyta; Magnoliopsida; Poales; Poaceae.
AUGAUGGAACUAGGGCUUCGGGAGGAGGAACUGGACAAUGUCAUCUUUGAUGAGAAGGAAGCUCCGCUGGAAUCGCCAAGGUGGGUAGCGUUGAUCAAGGUCAAUACAAGCAAACCCUACAGUCAAACAUGGUUCUUCAGGGACAUGAGGUCAGCCUGGGAUGUUGCUCAAGAAGCAAAGUUCAAACCUUUGGAGGAUAAUCUGUACUCUGUCCAGUUUACGUGUUUGGGAGACUGGGAACGCGUCAUGGAAGGAGGGCCAUGGAACUUCCGCGGAGAUGCGGUACUCCUAGCUCCUUAUGACGGAAUAACAAAACCCUCGACGAUCAAACUUGAGACCAUCGAUAUUUGGAUCCAAAUCCAUGACGUGCCGGAUCUAUAUGCACAACUAAUCCAGCCCCUAGCGGCAAAGGUUGGUGAAGUUCUAUUCGCUGAAACACAGUCCCAUGAUUUCAUAGGGAGUUUUUACCGUAUUUGGGUACGAAUCAAUGUGCACAAACCCCUCAAGAAUGCAGUAUCCAUGAUCAGAGAAGGAAAGAGACAGAUUUACAAAGUAAAGUAUGAAAGACUCCCUGACUGGUGUGCUGUUUGUGGGAUGCUUCGUCACCUAUACAAGGAACACGUGAAGGAAAUAUGCCCUGGAGGCAAUAAUAAAGUUCUUAUUUAUAUUUCCUUAUAUCAUAAUAAAUGUUUAUUAUUCAUGCUAGAAUUCUAUUAA